GGCCGAGUGUCUUAAUGGUAAAGCAGGAGGUCGCACCUCCAGACGUCGGUUCAAUCCCGUCCUCGGUCA
Molecule: transfer RNA, 69 nt
Filed under: Phytophthora boehmeriae
Lineage: Eukaryota; Oomycota; Peronosporomycetes; Peronosporales; Peronosporaceae
Description: tRNA-Ala
Rfam family: tRNA
About the family: Transfer RNA (tRNA) molecules are approximately 80 nucleotides in length.
Source: RNAcentral